Molecule: ribosomal RNA, 251 nt
Filed under: uncultured prokaryote
Description: partial 16S rRNA
Rfam family: Bacterial small subunit ribosomal RNA
Source: RNAcentral
ACGGAGGGUGCAAGCGUUAAUCGGAAUCACUGGGCGUAAAGCGCUCGUAGGCGGUUUGGUCAGUCAGAUGUGAAAGCCCUCGGCUUAACCGGGGAACUGCAUUUGAUACUGCCAGACUUGAGUGUCGGAGAGGGUGGCGGAAUUCCGGGUGGAGGUGUGAAUGCCGGAAUUAUCCGGAGGAAGACCAGGGGCGUAGGCAGCCUCAAGGACGACAACUGACGCUGAGGAUCGAUAGUGUGUGGCGCCGCCAG